UUUUUUUUUUUUUUUUGGUCUUUUUGCCAUUUCUUGGGCCUCUCCCGUGGCAUAUGGAGGUUCCCAGGCUAGGGGGUGAAUUGGAGCUGUAGCUGCCAGCCUACGCCAGAGCCACAGCAACGCGGGACCCGAGCCGCAUCUGCAACCUACACCACAGCCCACGGCAACACAGGAUCGUUAAUCCACUGAGCAAGGGCAGGGACCGAACCCGCAACCUCAUGGUUCCUAGUCGGAUUCGUUAACCACUGUGCCACGACGGGAACUCCCAUAUUUUUUCCUUUUAGCACUUUAAGUAUCUCUUGCCAUUCCCUCCUGGCAUGUAGAGUUUCUGUAGAGAAAUCAGCUGAUAACCUUAAGGGGGUUCCCUUAUAGCUAACAUUUUGCUUUUCUCUUGCUGCCUUUAGGAUCCUCUCUUGAUCAUUAACUUUUGCCAUUUUUAUUAUAACGUGUCUUGGUGUGGGUCUAUUUGGGUUCAACUUGUUUGGGGCCCUCUGUGCCUCCUGCAUCUUGAAAUCAGUAUCCUUUAGAUUUGGGAAGUUUCCAGUGAUAAUUUCUUCAAAUAUAUUUUCCAUCCCCUUAUCUUUUUCUGCUCCUUCUGGAAUUCCUAUUAUGUGUAGAUUGGCCUGCUUUAUAUUAUCCCAUAGGUCUCUUUAUGUUGCUUUCACGUUUUUUCAUUUGGUUUUCUGUCUGCUGUCCUGUUUGGGUGAUUUCCAUUAUUCUAUCUUCCACAUCACUAAUUUGUUCUUCUGCAAAUUUUGUAUCUCUUAGUUCAGUUUUUAUCUCUGCAAAUGAAUUUUCUAGUUUUUCUUGGCUCCUCCUUAUAUUUUCUAGUUCCCUUCUGAUGGCAUCUGCAUUACUGUUCAUAUCUUCUCUUAAUUCCUUCAGUAUUUUCACUAUUUCCCUUUGAACUCCAAGUCUGUCAGACUGCAGAGGUCUGUCUGUUUCAUUGUUGACUACUUUAGGUGAGCUCUGCUGUUGGUUUAACUGGGGGUGCUUUCUCAGCUUCUUCAUCUUGCUUGUUGUUUUCUUUUUCUUGGUGGAGUUGUACUCCCCGUGGCCAGGCAGGGUUUGCCUUGGCACUGCUGUGAAAUGUUUCCAGGGGGCUGGCUUUGUUGGUCGUCUUCUUUGAGACAACAUGGGUUUUCUUGGGGGUGGGCAGGGCUGACAGGGUCUCUCUGAAGCAAAGGAGGACUUCCUGAGGGCAGAUAGGACUGGGAGGUCUGCAUUGCGAUGGAAGCAGAUUUCACACAGCUGGGCAGAGCUUGCUCUGGUGUUACUGGGCUAUUGGGCUCUUCUGGGGGGCUGGUGGUGCUGGUCAGCUGUUCCAGGGGAGUGCAGCACCCCCCAAGGGUGGGAGCAGCCAGCUGGGCUGCUGAGAACCCAAGGGACUCUUCCCCAGGGCAGCAGGGAUUGGCAGGAUCACACGCAAUAGAGGCAGAUUUGCACGGCCAGGCCAAGCUUGUACUAGAUUUUCUGGGCUGCGGGCUUUUUCCCAGGUGCUGGUGGUGCUGGGUGCUGCUCUCCAGAAGGCAGGCAUGCCAGGGCAGGGAAAGCCCCUACAGUGGUCAGCUUCCUGCAAAUGGUGAGGCCAGCCCUCCAGGAUGGCAGGCAGCCUCAGGUCCUGGCACGUGCACACCGGGUAGGGGGAGAGGGGAUGCACUGGGAAGUACAGAUUUCUGAUAGCUGGCAGGCAAGUGAGCUCACUGUGGUGUGCGGAAUAUUCUAUGGUGGCCCACCCCUCCUCCUCUCCCCUGCCCAAUACUGGCACCUUGUCUCUCCUGCAGACCCAGCUCUUCUCCUGGGUUCCCUCUGAUGUGGCUUUCCACCCCCCAGCCCUUAGCAUACUGCUCCCUGUACCUGCAACGCUCAGCUUCCUAAUCUCCCAGGCAGUCUCUGCCCGAGAACUGGACAGACCAGUUCCUGGUCCCCCAAGCAGUCCCAGCACCGCCCACCCCAGCCCAUUCCCAGGGACUAACCUCCAGAGCCGAGGUCUCGGUGCCCAGCCCCCACCCAAGCAUCUCAGUUUUUGGUGACUGUGCCAGUAGUUCAGAUGAUCUGUUUGGUUCUCACUCUGCUCUUCGGAACUCAGACUUACUGCUGCGCUCUUCUCUGAAUCUGAUUCAGCUGAUCUUUCCGUCGAGUAGGUGACUUUCCAGGGUGUGGGAUCCCUUUCUCCUCCACAGUUCCCUUUCGGGAGUGCCCAUCCAGCCCGGAUUCCUCUUCUCUCAAUAUCCUCUUUUCUCUUAUUUUACCCAGUUAUGUCACGAGAUUCUUGCCGUUAUCGGAGUUUAAGUUCUACUGCCAGUGAUUAAUUGCUGAAGUGUGCGAGUUGUUUAACCUGCAGAUGUGUUUUUUUGUGUGUGUUUGUGGGAGAGGCAAGCAUGUCCCCCUAUUCUUCUGCCAUCUUGCCUUCCUCCUCUCUAUAUUAAUUUUAAUGAAGUCCAACUUAGUUUUUUUCUGCCAAGGAUUGUGCUUUUGGUGCUGUAUCUAAAAAACCAUUGCCAAAUCUAAGGUCCCUUAGCUCUAUCUAGAUUAAACACAUCAAUAUUUAUUUAGACAAAAAUAAAUGUAUCUAGACUUAUCACCUAUCUUCUGGAAGUUUUAACCUUUUGUAUUUUACGUUUAGGUCUAUGAUCCCUUUGAGUUAUGUCAGUGUAUUUUUUUUUUAAUUGUUCCCACCUCUUGCUUUAUUGGAACUUUCUGUGAGUUUUCCUUGAGAUUAUGGAUGUCUUGUGUGUUCUAUCACUGAUUUUUAAAAUUUUUUUUUGGCUGUGCCCAUGGUUGUGGAAGUUCCAGUGCCACGGAUCAAACCUGUGCCAUAGCAGCAACCCAAUGUCAAUGAAAAUAAUCAAUAAAUAAUCUAUAAUAGGAAUAGAAAAAAGUUUUCAGCCAAACUGAAGACUAUACCUCAGAAGACAGCCUCUCCAAUAACUCUGAGAAUCUCAAAGAAGCAUAGUUUUCAGCCCAGUUUUGUAUCUUGUCAGAAAGAAGAACAUCAAACAAGUCAGAG
Molecule: long non-coding RNA, 3010 nt
Filed under: Sus scrofa (pig)
Lineage: Eukaryota; Metazoa; Chordata; Mammalia; Artiodactyla; Suidae
Description: lncRNA (ENSSSCG00000057216.1)
Source: RNAcentral